This 253-nucleotide ribosomal RNA is filed under the name uncultured bacterium. RNAcentral describes it as "partial 16S ribosomal RNA". It matches the Rfam family "Bacterial small subunit ribosomal RNA", at positions 524 to 776 of the family's 1533-position model. The record is from RNAcentral.
UACAGAGGGUGCAAGCGUUGUUCGGAAUUAUUGGGCGUAAAGCGCGUGUAGGCGGCUUUGCAAGUCGGGUGUGAAAGCCCUCGGCUCAACCGAGGAAGUGCGCCCGAAACUGCAGAGCUUGAGUACCGGAGAGGAUGGCGGAAUUCCCCAAGUAGAGGUGAAAUUCGUAGAUAUGGGGAGGAACACCGGUGGCGAAGGCGGCCAUCUGGACGGAUACUAACGCUGAGACGCGAAAGCGUGGGGAGCAAACAGG